GUGAAGUAUAUGCAAAAUAAAAAGAAAAAAGGUUGUAUAUUGAUAUAUGGUAUAAUACAUUAGAUAUAUAAAGUUACUUUUUUGAUUUUUUAUUUGCUUUUGACCCAUUUGAAGUACUCGAUCAUUCUGUGUAAAAAAAAGUACUCAGUCAUUUCUUAUUUCACCAUUUUCAACCCAUAUUUCACCAUUUUCAACCAUUUUUAACCAUUUGAGCUCAUUAAAGUUUGAAAAUGGCAAAGAAGAUAUUAGUGAUAAAGGAUCCGAUUUUUAAAAACGGUUAGGAGGAAUGUGAUGAACUCGUAGGCGAUGGUAAUAAAUCCGGUGGUGGUACUGCUCUGAUUUGAGCUCAUUUAUUCAGAUGUCGACCUCAAUCUUCUUCCCGAUUCUCAAAAACCUAAAAAAAUUUCUCUAAUUUCAUACAAGAAAGAGGUACGAGGCAUCAAACCUAGCUAUGAAGACCAUGUACAUUAGAAAAGGGCCACCUAUGAGCAUACGGUGAAGGGGCUGCUAAAAUUGGAAGGGGUAUGCCAAUGAGCACAAAGUGAAGGGGCUGCUGAAAUUGGAAAAGGCAAGGGUCUGGAAGAGAUGAAUUUUAAAAGUAUAAAUCAAUGUAAUCUAUAGAUAUUACAUAUUACUUGUAUAAAUGUUAAUCAAAUUAUAAAGAUGAACUGUGUUUUUGU
Long non-coding RNA from Chenopodium quinoa (quinoa), 680 nucleotides. RefSeq lists it as uncharacterized. The transcript has 3 exons. NCBI's taxonomy places the organism in Eukaryota, Viridiplantae, Streptophyta, Magnoliopsida, Caryophyllales, Amaranthaceae. The record is from RefSeq and is a predicted model, not a curated record.